UUGUAUAAUAGAAGAGGCUCCUCUUCGUAUUAUGCAUUCUGAGGUCUUCUAAGGAGGACUCCUCUUUUUAUAGAGGUCUUCGAGCUUUGGAUACCUUCAUCAGGGCUUUGGAUUCUUCUUGUUAGUGGAGUAGAAAUGAUUCCACUUUUCUUUGAAAUUUUUCAAUAAUGCUUCACGCCUUUGGAGAAAGAUGUCGGCCAUAUCUUUGAAAGAAUCUUUUGCUUUUUCUUUUUGACUUUUUCUUUUUGUCUUUUGUCUUUUUCUUUUCUUUUCUUUUUCUUUUUCUUUUUCUUUUUCUUUUUAGACCCGGGCUUUUGGCCCAACACAAGGAACCUUGGGCUGCCAUUUUUGGUUUUCAACCCAUGGACUUUUUACGGAGAUCAUUUUAUGGGCUUGAAAAUCCCAAAACAAUCAUCCUCGUUGGAAUCACC
RNAcentral lists this long non-coding RNA (431 nucleotides) under Ricinus communis (castor bean). RNAcentral's name for it is "long non-coding RNA (RCOM_LNC002483)". Lineage: Eukaryota; Viridiplantae; Streptophyta; Magnoliopsida; Malpighiales; Euphorbiaceae. The record is from RNAcentral.